Molecule: non-coding RNA, 843 nt
Filed under: Enterocytozoon bieneusi H348
Lineage: Eukaryota; Fungi; Microsporidia; Enterocytozoonidae
Description: Eukaryotic large subunit ribosomal RNA
Rfam family: Eukaryotic large subunit ribosomal RNA
Source: Rfam by way of RNAcentral
CUGUUGAGCUUGACUCUAGCCAAGCACAGGCCUCUGUGACUAUAUCGUAGCGAGGUGGGAGAAAUGUGUGAGACCACUGACAUAGUCGGCGGGGGCACUCGCAAAGCUUGGUGGGGAGUUUGGCUGGGGCGGCACGACUACUAAAACAUAACGUAGACGUCCAAAGGUAAGCUCCGAGGGGAUGGAAACCACUCCGAGAGUAUAAGGGCAAAAGCUUGCUUUAGUUAUUAAUGUAAAUUAAUAAUACUGGAAACAGGGGCCUAGAGAUCCUCUAUGAAACUAAGCAUAGAGGUGACGGAAAAGUUACCACAGGGAUAACUGGCUUGUGGCGGCCGAGCGUCCAUAGCGACGCCGCUUUUUGAUUCUUCGAUGUCGGCUCUUCCGAGCAUGGUGGAGUAUCAGCCACCAAGUGUGUGAUUGUUCACCAACUAACAGGGAACGUGAGCUGGGUUUAGACCGUCGCGAGACAGGUUAGUUUUACCCUACUGCAUCGCGUCCGAGAGUAGGUCGGGGCAGUACGAGAGGAAGUGCCGAUCAGAACCGCUGGUGAUACUUUCGUCUGUUAAGGCGCGAAGUGUAGCUACGUUCUUCUUAUAAUAGCUGAAAGCCUCUAAGCUAGAAUGAGUACUUAAGGACGCAAAGAUAUGAAGACUACAUAUGUAAGGAUGAGGGUUGUACGAUAUAAGCUUCUGCGAGUAUUUCAGACCACUUAUUUCCUUUUUUAGAACAUGCUUGCUCGGAUACAUACAGGAAUUCCGGGGAAAGGAAAAAUUUAUUUUAUCUGCACGGUCGGGUCUCUCCUGCGCUGCGCCACUGCGCGGCGAUCGCGCAUGCGAGACCCGU